Molecule: ribosomal RNA, 446 nt
Filed under: uncultured bacterium
Lineage: Bacteria
Description: partial 16S ribosomal RNA
Rfam family: Bacterial small subunit ribosomal RNA
Source: RNAcentral
CCUACGGGUGGCAGCAGUCGAGGAUCAUUCACAAUGGGGGAAACCCUGAUGGUGCGACGCCGCGUGGGGGAAUGAAGGCCUUCGGAUUGUAAACCCCAGUCAUGUGGGAGCAAAUUAAAAAGAUAUGACUACAAAAGGAAGAGACGGCUAACUCUGUGCCAGCAGCCGCGGUAAUACAGAGGUCUCAAGCGUUGUUCGGAAUCACUGGGCGUAAGGCGUGCGUAGGCUGUUUCGUAAGUCGUGUGUGAAAGGCGCGGGCUCAACCCGCGGACGGCACAUGAUACUGCGAGACUAGAGUAAUGGAGGGGGAGCCGGAAUUCUCGGUGUAGCAGUGAAAUGCGUAGAUAUCGAGAGGAACACUCGUGGCGAAGGCGGGUUGCUGGACAUUAACUGACGCUGAGGCACGAAGGCCAGGGGAGCGAAAGGGAUUAGAUACCCUGGUAGUC